Long non-coding RNA from Saccostrea cuccullata (small rock oyster), 427 nucleotides. RefSeq lists it as uncharacterized. The record is from RefSeq and is a predicted model, not a curated record. The transcript has 4 exons. NCBI's taxonomy places the organism in Eukaryota, Metazoa, Mollusca, Bivalvia, Ostreida, Ostreidae.
GUUUGCAGGGAGUGAAUUACGUUGUUAUUGAUAGCACAAUUGCUGCACCGCCAUUGAAGCAGCGAGAGAGCAGGUAGAAUCUUUCCCUGAUGGUUUCCACUAAAUUGUACUACAUUGCAGUUUUCGUACUUUUGUCCUUCAGCUUGAAAGAUUCAUCCUCGCAAGUCAUUUAUUUCGAUGAUUUACACUUGGGAGAUGACAACAGUUUAUACCGAACAUGGAUGAUUUUAAGACGAGUGACAAAAAGAAGAUCAAUUCCAGUGUUCCUCAAGCUUGUAAAGGAAUAUCGUGCGAGGGAGAGAGAUUUGGACUUUGACGACGACGACGAUGAAAUCUAAUAAGCCUUUGAUGACAGAGAAUGAUGAAAUUCGAUUAGCAAUGCAACAUGUUAAAUUACAAUGAUCAUAUAAUAAAUUGACUCGUUGUU